AACCAGAGUUGAGGAGCGGUGCUCAUAAGUAGUCAUGAGAAAGGGGAGCAGGACCCGUAUAAUGAUCUUGUGGCAAAAGGGUGUACCGCCGAAGCCUGCUGAUGGCCUGUUACACAAGCAGGCUGGGAUUGUGGAUAAAAUCCGCAAUACUGUCACGAGUUUUUUCGUGGAGCGCUCUCUAGGU
This 184-nucleotide non-coding RNA is filed under the name Desulfobacterium sp. RNAcentral's name for it is "Lysine sequence". It matches the Rfam family "Lysine riboswitch aptamer". From Rfam's summary of the family: Riboswitches are metabolite binding domains within certain messenger RNAs that serve as precision sensors for their corresponding targets. Allosteric rearrangement of mRNA structure is mediated by ligand binding, and this results in modulation of gene expression. This family includes riboswitches that sense lysine in a number of genes involved in lysine metabolism, including lysC. The record is from RNAcentral. Lineage: Bacteria; Pseudomonadati; Thermodesulfobacteriota; Desulfobacteria; Desulfobacterales; Desulfobacteriaceae.